AUUGAACGCUGGCGGCGUGCCUAACACAUGCAAGUCGAGCGGUAACAGGUGUAGCAAUACAUGCUGACGAGCGGCGGACGGGUGAGUAACGCUUGGGAAUCUGCCUAUUAGUGGGGGACAACCCGGGGAAACUCGGGCUAAUACCGCAUACGCACUACGGUGGAAAGCCGGGGACCGCAAGGCCUGGCGCUAACAGAUGAGCCCAAGUCGGAUUAGCUAGUUGGUAGGGUAACGGCCACCAAGGCGACGAUCCGUAACUGGUCUGAGAGGACGACCAGUCACACCGGAACUGAGACACGGUCCGGACUCCUACGGGAGGCAGCAGUGGGGAAUAUUGGACAAUGGGCGAAAGCCUGAUCCAGCGACGCCGCGUGGGUGAAGAAGGCCUGCGGGUUGUAAAGCCCUUUUCAGUGGGGAAGAAAAGCCUCGAGCUAACACCUCGGGGUCUUGACGUAACCCAUAGAAGAAGCACCGGCUAACUCUGUGCCAGCAGCCGCCGCGGUAAC
RNAcentral lists this ribosomal RNA (506 nucleotides) under uncultured bacterium. Its description in RNAcentral is "bacterial SSU rRNA". It matches the Rfam family "Bacterial small subunit ribosomal RNA", at positions 29 to 524 of the family's 1533-position model. The record is from RNAcentral.